GAAACCGCGAAUGGCUCAUUAAAUCAGUUAUGGUUUACCCGACAGUGCCAGUACAUGGACAACUGUGGUAAUUCUAGAGCUAAUACAUGCAGAAAGCUCCGAGCCCGUUCGCGCGGGCGACGAGCGCAGUUAUUAGAUCAAAAACCAAUCGGCCGGCGGCUCGCGCCGUCGGCCGCCCGGUUUGGUGACUCUGAGUAACCACAGCGAAUCGCACGGUCUCGCACCGGCGGUCUGUCGGUCAAGCAACUGCCUUAUCAGCUUGUCGUUAGGUUAUACGCCUAACGAGGCGUCGACGGGUAACGAACGAUCGGGGUCUGACAUCGGAGAGGGAGCCUGAGAAACGGCUGCCACAUCCAAGGAAGGCAGCAGGCGCGCAAAUUACCCACUCCCGGCACGGGGAGGUAGUGACGAGAAAUAACGAUGCGAGGCUCCAUCGAGCCUUCGUAAUCGGAAUGAGUACACUUUAAAUCCUUUAACGAGUAACUAUUGGAGGGCAAGUCUGGUGCCAGCAGCCGCGGUAAUUCCAGCUCCAAUAGCGUAUAUUAAUGCUGCUGCGGUUAAAAAGCUCGUAGUUGGAUCUGGGUCGCCGGCGGGCGCUCCGCGUCUCAUUGUGGACGCGGUCUUGCGCUGAAGGCGUCGUGUGCGCGCGCGCUCUGCGUUGCGCGCGCGCGGCGUGGCCGACGCGGCACUUCCGCACUCGUGUGCGGGUGUCGCGGCCGGUCGCCGGCACCACCGGCCGGACCGCGCGGCAUGCUCUUCGCUGAGUGUGCUGCGCGUUCGGUGCGUUUACUUUGAAAAAAUUAGAGUGCUCAAAGCAGGCGUACAGUUGUGUGUGCGCGCUCGUUUGCACUCGCGUUCGUGCGUGCCGCUUCGGCGUGCCGCGCGGCGCGAUGCCGGCGUGCAACCGUCUGAAUAAUGGUGCAUGGAAUAAUGGAAUAGGACCUCGGUUCUAUUUUGUUGGUUUCUGGAGCUCGAGGUAAUGGUUAAGAGGGACAGACGGGGGCAUCCGUAUCCUGCCGUUAGAGGUGAAAUUCUAGGAUCGGCAGGCGACGAACCAAGGCGAAAGCAUUUGCCAAGAAUGUUUUCAUUAAUCACAGAACGAAAGUCAGAGGUUCGAAGGCGAUCAGAUACCGCCCUAGUUCUGACCAUAAACGAUGCCAACCAGCGAUCCGCCGCUCGUCUCACUUCGUUAACGACUCGGCGGGCAGCUUCCGGGAAACCAAAGUUUUCGGGUUCCGGGGGAAGUAUGGUUGCAAAGCUGAAACUUAAAGGAAUUGACGGAAGGGCACCACCAGGAGUGGAGCCUGCGGCUUAAUUCGACUCAACACGGGGAAACUCACCCGGCCCGGACACCGUAAGGAUUGACAGAUUGAGAGCUCUUUCUUGAUUCGGUGGGUGGUGGUGCAUGGCCGUUCCUUAG
Molecule: ribosomal RNA, 1420 nt
Filed under: Actinarctus doryphorus
Lineage: Eukaryota; Metazoa; Tardigrada; Heterotardigrada; Arthrotardigrada; Tanarctidae
Description: SSU rRNA
Rfam family: Eukaryotic small subunit ribosomal RNA
Source: RNAcentral